UGCCUGCCUGUUGCUGACGUCAGUCGCUGCUGCCUAUUUACCGUAGCUCAAGGACUGGGUUUCCCCUCUUUGCAAAACCACUUGCUGCUCUCUAGAACCCAUUCCCACCCUAGCAAUGGGCUCCCAUCCAGACCUGUCUAGAUAUGUCCCUGAGUGAGGAAGUAAAUGUCUCCAGAAAUGGCAGCAGCCCACAGAAAAGGGGAAGAGGCAGGGUCUGAAAGCAUCCACUUAUCCUACAGAGGAAGUUGGGAUAAGCCUGAGUGCCACAUGGAAAUGAAUGCCAUUUGCCAAGCUAGUCAACUGCACGCACCGUGGAGAAGUUUUCCUUUUGCCAGCCAGAAUGUUAUAUUUCACCAGCACCAACUGCCUUUUCUUUAAAGCAAAGCUGGUGGAUCACCCAUAAAAACCCAGAAACACAGCUCUAUCAGCAAGCUCUUUAUUUGGAGAUUGGCUCUCCCACAAUGGUAUGUUCUAACUGACAAGGACAUCAACCCUCCAUGCACAAGGCAGGACUCCUUUCUUCCAGUCCAGUUUCUUCUUCCAGCAUGUCUGACGCUCUUACGCAGCCUUGUAGGAGGUAAAUGGGAAGGUGGGCUGGUCUCCACACUUGCUUUCUUAAUUCUUGAUCAUCUUCUCUGUUUUUUCUUGUGUUUGUAUGAAAGACUUAUAAAUCAGGGGACCUAUAAAACUGGUGGUCACUGCCCUGUU
Long non-coding RNA from Alligator mississippiensis (American alligator), 708 nucleotides. RefSeq lists it as uncharacterized. The transcript has 2 exons. Lineage: Eukaryota; Metazoa; Chordata; Crocodylia; Alligatoridae. The record is from RefSeq and is a predicted model, not a curated record.